AUGAACGCUGGCGGCGUGCCUAAUACAUGCAAGUCGAGCGAACAGACGAGGAGCUUGCUCCUCUGACGUUAGCGGCGGACGGGUGAGUAACACGUGGAUAACCUACCUAUAAGACUGGGAUAACUUCGGGAAACCGGAGCUAAUACCGGAUAAUAUAUUGAACCGCAUGGUUCAAUAGUGAAAGACGGGUUUGCUGUCACUUAUAGAUGGAUCCGCGCCGCAUUAGCUAGUUGGUAAGGUAACGGCUUACCAAGGCAACGAUGCGUAGCCGACCUGAGAGGCUGAUCGGCCACACUGGAACUGAGACACGGUCCAGACUCCUACGGGAGGCAGCAGUAGGGAAUCUUCCGCAAUGGGCGAAAGCCUGACGGAGCAACGCCGCGUGAGUGAUGAAGGUCUUCGGAUCGUAAAACUCUGUUAUUAGGGAAGAACAAAUGUGUAAUUAACUAUGCACGUCUUGACGGUACCUAAUCAGAAAGCCCCGGCUAACUACGUG
This 496-nucleotide ribosomal RNA is filed under the name uncultured bacterium. Its description in RNAcentral is "partial 16S ribosomal RNA". It matches the Rfam family "Bacterial small subunit ribosomal RNA", at positions 29 to 507 of the family's 1533-position model. The record is from RNAcentral.